Molecule: ribosomal RNA, 499 nt
Filed under: uncultured bacterium
Lineage: Bacteria
Description: bacterial SSU rRNA
Rfam family: Bacterial small subunit ribosomal RNA
Source: RNAcentral
AGCGAACGUUUGCGGCGGGCCUAACACAUGCAAGUCGAACGCACUAGCAAUAGUGAGUGGCGCACGGGUGCGUAACACGUGGGUAAUCAACCCUUCAGCUUGGGAUAACGACUUGAAAGGGUCGCUAAUACCGGAUACGGCGCGGGAGGCUUCGGCUUCUCACGAGAAAGCCUCGCAAGGGGCACUGAAGGACGAGCCUGCGGCCCAUCAGCUAGUUGGUGAGGUAAGAGCUCACCAAGGCGAAGACGGGUAGCUGGUCUGAGAGGAUGAUCAGCCACACUGGAACUGAGACACGGUCCAGACUCCUACGGGAGGCAGCAGUGGGGAAUAUUGCGCAAUGGGCGAAAGCCUGACGCAGCCACGCCGCGUGAGCGAUGAAGGCCUUCGGGUCGUAAAGCUCUGUGGGGAGGAGACGAAGAAAGACCCGUGAAGAGCGGGCCGUUGACGGGUAUCUCCUUAGCAAGCACCGGCUAACUCCGUGCCAGCAGCCGCGGUAAUC